AUUGUACAUGCAUGUUAUAUAGAAAUUCCAAAAUCAUCCUUGUCAACAAAACAUGUUAUUUGAUCCUCUUACAGACUGCAAAGGUAUGUCUCAUGCUCUAAAGAUUGCCAACCAUCUUAUGCUUGUACUCAUCAUCGACUGCUAUAUAUGUUAUAAGGCACGAUAACAAAUUGUGCUUCAUCACCUCUUGAAAAUCUCACAACCUCCAAUCCUUGAUGCACUAAAUCGACUUUCACCACGACCAUUUCUGUUCCCUCGCCACCCCUGCUCGGAUGAAGAGGUGACUGAAAAGAAAAUGAUAUAAGUACAUCAAACAAUCAGAUCAGGGGUGUUGACAAUCCAGAAAUGCCAUAAGUCAUACUGGUGUACAUGAAUAACCAAAUGGCAUAUACAAUUGUCCUGAAGAGGGUAAAUAGAAAGUUUAACCAAAGUAAUCUUACAACCUCAUAUUAGAGGUUAGAUAUCUUUCACGGCGAUUACGGAAUGAACACUCUUACAGUAAAGCGAGUCAGUGGUGACAACGGGAGGCACACGCGUAGUCGGCGACAACUGCGCGGAUGAGAGGGUAGGACAGGGGGACUUAGUUUGUGGUCCUGUAGCUACACGAUGGAAGAAGUAAAAAAUCAGUGUAAGGGUGUAUGUAAGAUCUCACAUCUGUAAGUACUCAACCGUUUUUUGUGCGUCCACACUCUGCAAGGGUGGAUCUAGUUGAGAGUUUAAAAGCAAGGUGCAUAUAUUCAGAUUUUUUUUAAAUGUUUUGGUAUGUUUUAUUGCGUGGGUGCACCAAGGUGGGGUUCAGCCACUACUUUCCCUAUAUUCAAAUGUAAGUCAUAUUGGCACACAUGCAGCUCUACAUCUACACUGAAGUCUGAAUUUGAAAAAAAUUGAAAUAGAUAGUAGUGUCUACACUCUUCAUGUAGAUCACAAUAUCACAUUAUAAUCCUCUACAAUGGUUACAUGUAAAGCAAAUUUGGAGGCAUAUACAACUAAAAAGUAAAUCAUUGUAUCAUGGAAAUGACAUACUAAUAUGGACCAUGGAAUAAAAUACUAUUGGAAGGCAUGUCUGCAAGGAUUGUUUAGAAACUUGAUCACUGUAUCAUGAAAAUGAUAUUGCAAGAGCUGACCUUUCCCUUGUGCACAUUCCCAUGCUUUGACUAAAAUAGAGCAUUUGCAGUUCCUGCUUGGAUGCUCACUUUCUUUCUGUUUACUCACUUUCUUUCUGUUUACUCACUUCAUAUGCUAUCCCCCGAUCAAAUCAACAGCUAGCCAACCAGCUCUACUUUUGCAGUUUGCAUUCAACACUCCAAAGGGAAAAUUAGAGGCCACCCAUGGCUUCAAGGAUGAGGUAGUAACAGCAAGGUCGAUGAGUAGCGAGAGCGCACCAGACACGGCCGCCCCAGCCCCUCCUCGACGGCACCGCGGAGAUUGAGCCGCUACCGCACAGGGAGAGCCUAAGGAGCCGGUCAAGGAGACAGUACUGACACACGUCGUUGUAGACACAAGGAGAUAGUACGGUCACACUUCAUCCUCCAUUAACUCUAACAUGAGCAUGUAGGCGCCUGCUACAGAAAACGGGCGUGUAAAAAUCCGCACGAGGAUGCAAAGAAAAUGGACAGUAAGGGGCCUUCUUUGUCAAAAAUGGUGCAUCUAGUUGGUUAACAAACUGCAGCUCAAAGAAAAAAAAUCAAUUACUUGGUAAAAAUGUCCCGAUAAUUCCUGGCAAGAAGCUAUGUUGCAACAAAGAUUAAUCUUAAAUUACCAAUCACCUCCAAGCAUGUUCUUACGUCCAGCCAAAGCCAUGACACCUUCAUCAGGAAAUAAUAUAUUUCAAACAUGAGUACAUGACUCACGUAGCUAGUUCCAUAUACAUACCCUGGGUGUAUACACUAAAGCAAUUUCAGGCGACAGUGUGAUGCUAUCCAUUAGUGAAGCCCCAUGAAUCGUCCAUUUAUUUAUUCACUCAAGGCAUUUAUAUCUUCCCCCAUUCUCCUAUCAUCUAUAUUCUCACCUGCAAAGACAUCAGACAAUCAAUAAUGUCGAAGAGCCAUCGUUAUUUUUAACUACUUAAGGGCAGCCAGCCAUAGGAACGUAGCAGGUACUGAACCAAAUAAUAACAACGAGAUAUAAAGGAUUUUGAAUUUUAAACCACAGUCUAUGAAGAGCAUCUAUAUAGCAAACAAAUAUGAACUUUCACAACAAUAAGGAACGACAAGUAAUUACUUUGCUCCCUUAAUAGUUGAUACUGGUAUGCACCCAUAUGAUCUUUCUGAAAUUAGUACCUUCAAUGGACCAAUAUUAGUAUUAUCAGAGGGCCAAUAUCUACUCCAACAUGAAAAACAAAUCGUGGUGUAAAAAGAGAUAUACAGCUAGUCCAACUUAUUCAAGAGAUUAACAAAGAAAGAAAAUCUCCGCAAUUAGAGUAUAUAGCUUCCGUCUGAAGAUAUGGACAUGCUUUGGUAUUUGUUAAAUAAGUAAGCAAUAUCAAACUUGAGGUUUCUUCAUGGAGCUGAAAUCACUCACAAACUCAGUUAAGGAGGGAGAUAUCAAAACAGAAAUGCUAAUUACUCUGUCAUAUGGAAAUAGAAAUACAUCAGAGAGCAGUCACUGGAAAAUCAGACGGGAAAAUCAGGGAGCACACAUAGUCUAACAGUUGGUAUCAAAGCUACAACUUAUCAUAGUUGGAAUUCCUUUUUCAUAUAAACCUUGCAGAUCACAAACUUAUGACCUGAGCAUGUAAAAGGAUAUAUUUCAACUGAAAGGGAGACAACAACAGGGGGCUUUUUUUAACCUUGGUGCUGCAUGGUGGUCUCCCAGGAGGACGCAAAUGAAGGGCUCGGCGGUGUCACAUGGACGCUGUGAACCGGUAGAAGAACAGUAGCCUCAUGUGCAUCCCAGUUGCCGCCACGCCGCCACGUGCUUGUAC
RNAcentral lists this long non-coding RNA (2923 nucleotides) under Triticum aestivum (bread wheat). Its description in RNAcentral is "long non-coding RNA (TAES_LNC022475)". Lineage: Eukaryota; Viridiplantae; Streptophyta; Magnoliopsida; Poales; Poaceae. The record is from RNAcentral.